Molecule: ribosomal RNA, 253 nt
Filed under: Deltaproteobacteria bacterium
Lineage: Bacteria; Pseudomonadati; Myxococcota; Myxococcia
Also listed under: 1 other name
Description: partial 16S ribosomal RNA
Rfam family: Bacterial small subunit ribosomal RNA
Source: RNAcentral
UACAGAGGUCCCGAGCGUUGUUCGGAUUCAUUGGGCGUAAAGGGUGCGUAGGCGGUCUGCUAAGUUUGAUGUGAAAUCCCGGGGCUCAACCCUGGAAUGGCAUUGAAUACUGGCGGACUAGAGUACCGGAGAGGAAACUGGAAUUUACGGUGUAGCAGUGAAAUGCGUAGAGAUCGUAAGGAAGACCAGUGGCGAAGGCGAGUUUCUGGACGGUAACUGACGCUGAGGCACGAAGGCCAGGGGAGCAAACGGG